ACGCGUUGGGAGCUCUCCCAUAUGGUCGACCUGCAGGCGGCCGCGAAUUCACUAGUGAUUCGUAUUACCGCGGCUGCUGGCACAGAGUUAGCCGGUGCUUAUUCUGUCGGUAACGUCAAAACACUAACGUAUUAGGUUAAUGCCCUUCCUCCCAACUUAAAGUGCUUUACAAUCCGAAGACCUUCUUCACACACGCGGCAUGGCUGGAUCAGGCUUUCGCCCAUUGUCCAAUAUUCCCCACUGCUGCCUCCCGUAGGAGUCUGGACCGUGUCUCAGUUCCAGUGUGACUGAUCAUCCUCUCAGACCAGUUACGGAUCGUCGCCUUGGUGAGCCAUUACCCCACCAACUAGCUAAUCCGACCUAGGCUCAUCUGAUAGCGCAAGGCCCGAAGGUCCCCUGCUUUCUCCCGUAGGACGUAUGCGGUAUUAGCGUCCGUUUCCGAGCGUUAUCCCCCACUACCAGGCAGAUUCCUAGGCAUUACUCACCCGUCCGCCGCUCUCAAGAGGUGCAAGCACCUCUCUACCGCUCGACUUGCAUGUGUUAGGCCUGCCGCCAGCGUUCAAUCUGAGCCAUGAUCAAACUCUAAUCGAAUUCCCGCGGCC
RNAcentral lists this ribosomal RNA (602 nucleotides) under uncultured Gammaproteobacteria bacterium. RNAcentral describes it as "partial 16S ribosomal RNA". Lineage: Bacteria; Pseudomonadati; Pseudomonadota; Gammaproteobacteria. The record is from RNAcentral.